This 565-nucleotide ribosomal RNA is filed under the name Aspergillus oryzae. RNAcentral's name for it is "eukaryotic LSU rRNA". The stretch from base 203 to 356 matches the Rfam family "5.8S ribosomal RNA". Lineage: Eukaryota; Fungi; Ascomycota; Eurotiomycetes; Eurotiales; Aspergillaceae. The record is from RNAcentral.
AACCUGCGGAAGGAUCAUUACCGAGUGUAGGGUUCCUAGCGAGCCCAACCUCCCACCCGUGUUUACUGUACCUUAGUUGCUUCGGCGGGCCCGCCAUUCAUGGCCGCCGGGGGCUCUCAGCCCCGGGCCCGCGCCCGCCGGAGACACCACGAACUCUGUCUGAUCUAGUGAAGUCUGAGUUGAUUGUAUCGCAAUCAGUUAAAACUUUCAACAAUGGAUCUCUUGGUUCCGGCAUCGAUGAAGAACGCAGCGAAAUGCGAUAACUAGUGUGAAUUGCAGAAUUCCGUGAAUCAUCGAGUCUUUGAACGCACAUUGCGCCCCCUGGUAUUCCGGGGGGCAUGCCUGUCCGAGCGUCAUUGCUGCCCAUCAAGCACGGCUUGUGUGUUGGGUCGUCGUCCCCUCUCCGGGGGGGACGGGCCCCAAAGGCAGCGGCGGCACCGCGUCCGAUCCUCGAGCGUAUGGGGCUUUGUCACCCGCUCUGUAGGCCCGGCCGGCGCUUGCCGAACGCAAAUCAAUCUUUUUCCAGGUUGACCUCGGAUCAGGUAGGAUACCCGCUGAACUUAAG